AUUUCUUAAAAUAUUUUUUUGUUUAUUUAGAGCUUCUUCUUUUUUCUGUAUGAU
RNAcentral lists this non-coding RNA (54 nucleotides) under Plasmodium falciparum 3D7. The record is from RNAcentral. Lineage: Eukaryota; Apicomplexa; Aconoidasida; Haemosporida; Plasmodiidae.